CGGAGGAAAAGAAACCAACAGGGAUUGCCUCAGUAACGGCGAGUGAAGCGGCAACAGCUCAAAUUUGAAAUCUGGCUCCGUUAGGGGUCCGAGUUGUAAUUUGUAGAGGAUGCUUUGGGCACGGCCACGGUCUAAGUUCUCUGGAACGAGACGUCAUAGAGGGUGAGAAUCCCGUCUGGGACCGCCGGCCACGCCCGUGUAAAGCUCCUUCGACGAGUCGAGUUGUUUGGGAAUGCAGCUCAAAAUGGGUGGUAAAUUUCAUCUAAAGCUAAAUAUUGGCCAGAGACCGAUAGCGCACAAGUAGAGUGAUCGAAAGAUGAAAAGCACUUUGAAAAGAGAGUUAAACAGCAUGUGAAAUUGUUGAAAGGGAAGCGUUUGCGACCAGACUCACCCGUGGCGGCUCACCAGGCGUUCUCGCCUGGGCACUCCACCACGGUUGGGCCAGCAUCGGUUUGGGCGGUCGGUCAAAGGCCCCUGGAAUGUAUCAUCCCCCGGGAUGCCUUAUAGCCAGGGGUGCAAUGCGGCCUGCCCGGAUCGAGGAACGCGCUUCGGCACGGAUGCUGGCGUAAUGGUCGUAAACGACCCGUCUUGA
This 592-nucleotide ribosomal RNA is filed under the name Caliciopsis orientalis. RNAcentral describes it as "partial large subunit ribosomal RNA". It matches the Rfam family "Eukaryotic large subunit ribosomal RNA", at positions 51 to 657 of the family's 3401-position model. The record is from RNAcentral. Lineage: Eukaryota; Fungi; Ascomycota; Eurotiomycetes; Coryneliales; Coryneliaceae.